RNAcentral lists this ribosomal RNA (200 nucleotides) under uncultured Glomus. Its description in RNAcentral is "partial small subunit ribosomal RNA". It matches the Rfam family "Eukaryotic small subunit ribosomal RNA", at positions 591 to 796 of the family's 1831-position model. The record is from RNAcentral. Lineage: Eukaryota; Fungi; Glomeromycota; Glomeromycetes; Glomerales; Glomeraceae.
CCAAUAGCGUAUAUUAAAGUUGUUGCAGUUAAAAAGCUCGUAGUUGAAUUUCGAGAUCAGUACGCUGGUCGUGCCUUCGGUAUGCACUGGUGUCACUGGUUUCUCCCUUCUGAAGAACCGUCAUGCCAUUCAGUUGGUGUGGCGGGGAAUCAGGACUGUUACUUUGAAAAAAUUAGAGUGUUUAAAGCAGGCUCGCGCUU